Molecule: long non-coding RNA, 1017 nt
Filed under: Anas platyrhynchos platyrhynchos (common mallard)
Lineage: Eukaryota; Metazoa; Chordata; Aves; Anseriformes; Anatidae
Description: lncRNA (ENSAPLG00000018180.1)
Source: RNAcentral
CAGCUAAGUAAUCUCCUUCCCUCCCCAGGCGUGAGCCCCCUCUGCCUCGCUCCACAUGGAGCCAUUUACACCUGCACUAAGCAGGGAUAAAGUGAAGCCAAUCUGAAUUCUGCACUGCCUUGCGCUCAAGGUUGCCUUUUACAUCUGUUUGGCAUUUGCAGAGCCCGACUGCAACCUUAGCUCAGCUGGUGGAGCCCUGGCAUUACAGCGGGGUGGUCAGGUCCCACAUUUGAGGUUUGGGGCUGGGGGAAUGGGAGUGGUUUUGGUGUGGGAAGAGGAAAAGAAAAUCAGCUCCUUGUGCCUGAGUGAGUGCAAAGCUGGGAGCUGCUGCUGCAGCCCUGCUGAGAUGGAAAGGAGCUCAUCUCAUUUACGGUGGUGGAAGAUGGAGCAGAUAACCACGACGAAUAAACCGGCUCCUCUCUUCCUUGCCUGCCUAGAGGAAGCUGCUGGGUAUCUCUGUCACCUCUAUACAAGUGCAGAAAUGGAGGCAGAAGAGCAUGGAAGGUCUGUGACAACAUCUGACGUGGUUUCUGAGCACCCUGCUUCUCACCUCGGAGCCUCAGCCGCAGGACACUCUGUUUUCUUGCAGCCAAGGAGAAGUUGGAGGUAGAGAAAAUGAAGAAACUGUUGGUAGCUGCCAUUUCUCAUGAAAAAAUGGAGUGGUAUUGUCUAUUUUUAUAAUAGGUUUUUCAGAAAGUCUGCCAGGAUUGAUUUUAAAACUGUAGAAUUAGAGAAUCUCUGACAUCGCCAGGUCAGUUGCUCCAAAGGUUAAUAAUUUCUAUUAAAAACAACCCUUUGCUUCUCACACAGUGUUUGGGGAUGGGGAAUGAAGGCAUGGGUCUGCUCUCCUCUCUGCUUUUUACUUUGCUGGCUGCCAAAACCAGAAUUUCUUCCAGAAUCUCCACAUACUGAUGGUGCAAGUGGACAAUUCAACACUGCUCCCACAUGCCCAGAUGUGAUGGGGGCUGACCUCCCCACCUAAAUAAAUCUAAAUAAAUCUCCUCUGCCCUGCUAGGA